UGCAUCUAAAUUAAAGCUUAUUUGCUUGUUUUGAAUUCUGGUUUUGUAUUUGUGUUUUGAUGGAUAGGGGUUCUGUUCCUAUUAAUUAAUAGUGAAAAUUAAUGGUUUUCCUUUGUGAUUUCUCAUUAGUCUCAAUCACUACUUGACCAUUAUUUGAGCUUAAAAUUAAUUUUCCGGGUCUGUACCAAAUGAGAUUCAUAAGCUCAGGUACAUUAGUUGACAUUACUAUAAGUUUUUGAUCUAAUAAGAGCUAUAUGGGUUAACAUUAUAGUAUUGUUAUUGACAUUGAACCAAAUAUGAAGCAAAUAGAAGAUAAAGUGAUGUUGGUAUUUUGGAUUUGGUUUUGCUUUUCUACACUUUCACUUUCCAAUCAAGUGACUAAUUUAUACCUAUAAUGAAUGUCAAUGACCUUUUUCAAUAACUUUGUGGAUCAAUACUUUGCUUUUGCAAAAUUUCAUGUUUCAGUUUCUUUUGGACUCUUCUGCAUUUGUUUUGAUCAUUUUUGUGUUGUUUUGAAGUAUGUUAGUUUGAUGAGGAUGUUAAGAUGUUAGAUUAUUAGGACACUGAGUUGUUCAUGAGCCUGCAUGAUCUAGAGUUUUACUGCUAUGAAUUUUUAAAUUAUGCUUUUGAAACAACUGAAGACUGAAUAUACUUACUGCUCUAGUGUAACAGGAUCUCAUCUUGGGCCUGCGGUUUUACACGAACUGUUGUUCUUCAAUGAUUCUAUCCUGGUGUUACUGAUGCAUUAAAAUUUGCAAGCACAAGAGUGUACAAUGUACAUUGUCACCACAAAACAGGUCUGACUUCUCUCUCUGCUCCUACCAUGAAGACAAUAGUCCUAAUCCUAUGACAUGCCAUUAUUUAUACUUUUGCCAAUAAUUAGCAUCUGAUAAAAUUUAUGAAUGUGAAUUUUGUAAAUGUUAAUUACCAUUGCCAAUAAUUAGGAUAUGACACAAAUUCCUAAUUGGCAACAUCUGAUUUAUCAUAUUUCACAGACCCUGAAAUGAAACUAAAUUUGCAAUAGCUGGUCAUACUUGGUCUAUGUACUCAUUGAAGGAUUAGUAAUAGUAAUAGUGGAUAUGCAAUCACACAUGCUGCAUUAAAUUGUAGUACAUGAACACUAACUAGGAUUCUUUGUUUUGCAUAUGAUACUUUCUUUUGAGCUUCCAUUCACUUUAAUUUCACUCCUUAAGUUUAGCAGCGGUAGUACAAAGAUAGGACCUCGUAAGAAUUCAAUGACUUAUGCAGAGAAAGGAGUGCUUCAUUUUGGGUAAGCUGCUCUUUUUUACCUGACGCUAUUGUGCUAUUAAUUAGUCUGGCUUGAUCAUGAAUAAGGUUUGCUUGCUGCAUUUUGGUUUUACAAUACCGAAGUUUUCUGGUUUGGCAGGUUGUGAACAUGUUUGUUCUUUCUGAUUAAUAAAUUGGUAAUUAGGUAUAUAUUUUGAUUAUUCAAAUUAGGUAUUCCAAUUAUUUAUUCAUGUGAGUGUUUUGGUAGAUUUGUAUGUUUUGAUUGAGUAUGAAGAAUUAGGUAUUUCAAACUUCUUAUAUGAACAGAGCUAAUAUGAACUCAAAACUUCUUAAAUGUUUUGAUUUUACUAUGAUGAAAUGAUCAAUAUGUGAUGUAAUCGAAGAAUACUAUUGCCGUUUAAUUAUGUAGUUUUUUCAAUUUGAAAAAAGGAUAGGAUUAUUUGAAAUAGAAAUUGCAAACUGCUUCCUGCUAGAAGAAAUAGGAUUAUCUGAAAUACUUAGGCUUAAAAUGCUUAGGAUUGGUAUUUGAAAUUUAUAAGAGUUAGAUAUUUCUCUGAUAAAGAUGUAGCUUUAGAAUGAGCCAAAACCAACAUUGAAUAGGAAAAGGAAACUUCAUGUUAUGAACAAGCAUAGGCUAACACAUGAUUACAUCAACCGACAUUACUAUAAGCUUUUGACGAAAAUUAGUAAUAUGACCAAAAUGCUCAAACAUGUUUGACUAAUUUCCUUUGGUGGCUAAUCUCUAAUGAGAAUAACAUCUUUAUAUGAGAAUGAUUGGAAAGUGAAAGUGUCGAAAUGCAAAGUGAAUUGUGAAUGAAUGUUAAGGACCUUUUUCAACAACUUAGAAUAAUUCUACUAGAUGCAACUGUGUUUAAUAUUAAUAUUAUCAAUCUAGUACUUUUACUUAAACCUUUAAUUCCAAUCCAAUAUUCUUGUUCAGAUUCACAAAAGCUUGAACUAAGAACACCUUUCUGAUAGAUACCCUGUUCAUAAUGUUAGCUACACUUAUCCACACAUUGUAGUAACUGAUCCAUGUGUUUGAGUUUCAAGAUGGCUUUGUGAAUAGCAUGGACUAUCACCUGAACGAAAAGACAGUUGGAAAGCAUCUAACCAUGAUUUUGAGGAGAAAUAUGCAUUCCUCUUGACCAAGGUUUUUGUUUCUCAUAACUAUUUUUGCACAUGAAUGUAUGUCGAGUAUUGUAUCUUCUUUUGGUUUGAAAUAUUCAUAUGCUUACAUGUAACAUCUUUGGUUUCUAAUUCAUUGCAAUCCAUUUAUAUAA
Trifolium pratense (red clover) is the source of this 2528-nucleotide long non-coding RNA. RefSeq lists it as uncharacterized. The transcript is spliced from 2 exons. The record is from RefSeq and is a predicted model, not a curated record. Lineage: Eukaryota; Viridiplantae; Streptophyta; Magnoliopsida; Fabales; Fabaceae.